AACUCAAGAGGGUUGUAAAUUCGGCGCAUUCCGUUUUAAUACCCGAAAAAUCUAAACGGCAGUACAAAAAAUGUUACGGUGAGUUUAAAGAUUAGUGUGACAAACAGAAUGUUAAGACGAUGUCUGAAAACAUUUUAUUGGCUUAUUUGAUGCAGAAAUCAAAUAUUGUAAAAAGUUCAACUUUAUGGAGCAAUUAUGCUGAAGUGAAGCUGAACAUACAAAACAAUAUCGACAUCAAGCCGUUUUCAAAAUUAGUAUCAUUUCUGAAAAAAAGCAGUAGGUUAUCGAGCAAAAUAGUCUUUUUUACGCGUUUCUAGGUAGUUCUGAUAAUGGGAAUAGCUGGUGCCUUACGACGAGAUUAGUUAGUAAAAAUGGUCAUUGAAGAUGCUCGGGAAAAGAAUGUUGUAUGAAUAGUAACUGUUUUUGAUACCAAGACGCAUAAGAAGCGUGUUUUCACUGUUACAAAUAUUGAUUUCAUGAAAAUUUUUCUUAAAUAUGCAGCUCUUCGACCAAAACAUAUUAUUAAUAAUCGUCGUAUAUUCUAGAGUAAACAGAAAGUGCACCGCACUAGUUGUUUGAGUGCAUACAAUUGGGAAAAUGCCUAGUAUGAUUUCCAAGUAUCUCAGAUUACCUAAUCCUGAAACAUACACGGGUCACUCUUUUCGGAGAAGUUCAAUGCUUGCCAAUAAUGGGACUGAUAUGUGAAUUCUUAAACGCCACGGUGGAUAAGUCCACGACAGUAGCGGAGGGAUAUAUAGAAGACUCUAUCGAAAAAAAGAA
Diorhabda carinulata is the source of this 780-nucleotide long non-coding RNA. RefSeq lists it as uncharacterized. NCBI's taxonomy places the organism in Eukaryota, Metazoa, Arthropoda, Insecta, Coleoptera, Chrysomelidae. The record is from RefSeq and is a predicted model, not a curated record. The transcript has 2 exons.